ACUAAGAGGAACUGGACACCAGGAGCCUCAUACCAGGACUGCCCAGCCGAGCCACUCGAUUCCUGACCCACAUGGCCCUUGAGAUGACAAGUGAUUGCUGCUUAAAGUCACUGAGUUCUGGAGUAAUUUACAUCACGGCAAUAGUUCCAAUAUUCAGUAUCAGGCCUGGUCCUCCUGAUCUACUGGAGAAGAGUUGGUUAUGGCAUGGCAUCUAACAGUCAUCUCUUCUUAAUACAAAUGAUAAUAAAUUUCACUGCUAAGAAGACAAUCAUCUGAAAAAAACAGACAUUUGCUUAUGUUUUAAAGAAAGUCAUAAUAGCAAACUGGGGCUCUCUUCAACAUCUGGAUUCAUCUCAGAGCACUGGCAAUCUGUGUUUAACAGCAGUCAUGUCUUUACCAGAUGUAGAAAGAAUGUUCUCUUCUUUUGGACUUACCUAAAUAUCAUUUGGAAAUUGGAAGAAUAGGAAAGCAUAUCCUUUUUCACUAACUAUAAAAAUAAUUUGGAAGGAGAAGGAAACAAAAAAACCUUGAAGUUUUCUAUGCUGGUCUACAUGGUCUUACAAUGAAUCUCAGAGCAACAGUUUAUGACUUAAAUUAUAUGCUGUGUUCCUUAGCAUACUUUAUCUUCAAAAACUAGUAAUUCUAAAUUGUAUAAUUCUUGACUAUGAUAAAAUAGCCCAUUUCUCGACCAUGUCAUUUAUACUGGACUUUUGUUACUGAUGGGGAAAAAUCCAGAAUUUGUAAUAAUUAUGUCUUAGAUAUGCAAAUGGUUGAUUAUUUUCCUAACAAUUCCCAAAAUAUCCACAUCAUAAAGCAGAAUUAAAGAUGGUUUGCCUCUGA
Molecule: non-coding RNA, 840 nt
Filed under: Pongo abelii (Sumatran orangutan)
Lineage: Eukaryota; Metazoa; Chordata; Mammalia; Primates; Hominidae
Source: RNAcentral